Molecule: ribosomal RNA, 527 nt
Filed under: uncultured bacterium
Lineage: Bacteria
Description: bacterial SSU rRNA
Rfam family: Bacterial small subunit ribosomal RNA
Source: RNAcentral
AAUAGAUACCCCGGUAGUCCACGCCGUAAACGAUGAGUGCUAGGUGUUAGGGGUUUCGAUGCCCGUAGUGCCGAAGUUAACACAUUAAGCACUCCGCCUGGGGAGUACGGCCGCAAGGCUGAAACUCAAAGGAAUUGACGGGGGCCCGCACAAGCAGUGGAGCAUGUGGUUUAAUUCGAAGCAACGCGAAGAACCUUACCAGGUCUUGACAUCCUUUGACCACUCUGGAGACAGAGCUUCCCCUUCGGGGGCAAAGUGACAGGUGGUGCAUGGUUGUCGUCAGCUCGUGUCGUGAGAUGUUGGGUUAAGUCCCGCAACGAGCGCAACCCUUGACCUUAGUUGCCAGCAUUUAGUUGGGCACUCUAAGGUGACUGCCGGUGACAAACCGGAGGAAGGUGGGGAUGACGUCAAAUCAUCAUGCCCCUUAUGACCUGGGCUACACACGUGCUACAAUGGAUGGUACAAAGGGUUGCGAAGCCGCGAGGUGAAGCCAAUCCCAUAAAGCCAUUCUCAGUUCGGAUUGUAGG